Sinocyclocheilus anshuiensis is the source of this 482-nucleotide long non-coding RNA. RefSeq lists it as uncharacterized. The record is from RefSeq and is a predicted model, not a curated record. The transcript has 4 exons. Lineage: Eukaryota; Metazoa; Chordata; Actinopteri; Cypriniformes; Cyprinidae.
AAAGAAAAGAAAAGAAGCAGCUCCAUUGUGAGGCUUUAAACAACGGCCGCUUAUUUUGUGCCUCCAGAAUGAAUUUCCAUGAGAAGGAGAAUCAGGACACUGACUUUAAAAUGAGUUCUCCAUCUGCUGGCUCAAGCUGUGAUCAACCCAUAAAGAAUCUGAGCUCUGCCUUUAGUGAUGCAUCAGUGACCUCUGACCCCAGCAGGUGGAAGAGGCUGAGAUCAGAGUCUCCAGAACCCAGUGGUGUGUCUGUGAAGAGUAAUACAUCUAUGAUGAAUCCCCCUGCACUCCGUGAGGCAACAGUGACCUCUGACCUCAGCAGGUGGAAGAGGCUGAGAUCAGAGUCUCCAGAACCCAGUGGUGUGUCUGUGAAGGGUAAUGCAUCUAUGAUGAAUCCCCCUGCACUCCGUGAGGCAACAGUGACCUCUGACCCCAGGUAUGACACUAGAUGUUUUUUUGCAUUGAUCAGAUUAUUUUAUACA